This 1676-nucleotide long non-coding RNA is filed under the name Nicotiana tabacum (common tobacco). RNAcentral's name for it is "long non-coding RNA (NTAB_LNC017872)". Lineage: Eukaryota; Viridiplantae; Streptophyta; Magnoliopsida; Solanales; Solanaceae. The record is from RNAcentral.
UACAAGCUCACUAUCGGAAAUUACAAGGAGAUCGGAAUCUCCUCCAGUCAUCUUCACCACCAAAAAUCAGCAAAAACUACCUCAAAUCACCUUGAAAUCAGUCCAACAAACAGCCCCAAAUACCCUAGCGAAAAUCAUUCAAAAAGACCUCAAAAUAAUCACCUCUGAAAGUCAGUCCAAAUCUUAGUCAAAAGGCGGUCAAAACGCUGCAGAAGAUAGCCAUUAGAGUAGCUCCAAAUUACCAUAUCCUCCAAUACAUCUCCUCCAGUCAACAGCUCUUCUCGCUUGUCAGCGCCAUUACCGACUCGCUCGCUCUCCGUAAGUUUUCUGGAGUAGUAUUUUACUUUUCAUUUUCAGUUCCUCUCUGUUUGCUCAAUUACUCAAAAUUCAUUUUCCUUUCGAAAACCCUAGCAUCGAGUUUCUACUUAUUUACUAGCUCGCAUCGAGUUUCUACUUUGUACGUGUAAUUCGGGUAACUUCAGCUCUUCUUGAGUAUUAUUUUCUGAAACUCUUAAUAUUUUUAGAUUUAGUAACUGUUAUUUUAAUAUUUUAUUUCUUACAGUAAUUAAUUUUUUAACUCAUAUUAUUUUUUCAGCUGCAUAGAAUGUGGUUUCCCCUUUUAUAUGGUUUUGCAGAUCUAUUGUAUUCCUAUCAAUUUGUCAAAAUUCAUGUUUAUUUUGUUUAUUAACUCGAUUAAUUGACUGUCCUUGGAAAAAAUUUGGGAACUAUUUGGAACAAUGGUUGUGAGCAUCGAGUUAGAAAGAGCAGAAAUGUUUCAAUACUUGGGAAACUUAUUGGCGUGGAAAAGAAUGGGAGCUAAAAUUUACUUUGCAGAAUUUGGUAUAGAGUUGAUGGCAUUGCCCUCAUGUUGUGUAUCCACGGCCUACGAAGCAAUACGUUGUACCUCAUGUCACCGCCGAUGGCAUGGAACUAGGUGUUCUGAACUGUACCGGAUAUGUCAACUGGAAGGGCGAUCUCUCCUUUCAUAACUUCGCCAGCCAUGUUGAAGCCGUGGAGGAUCCGGGAGGCAGGUACGAUCUGAUCGAGUAACCCAAGCUGUUCUACUACCUUCGACCUGAUUACGUUUGCCGAGCUACCUAGAUCCACAAGCACACGUUUAAUUUGAACGUUGCUUAAAAGAAAUGAAAUUACCAGCGUAUCGUUGUGCGGUUCUGCCAAGGUCUUGAGAUCCUCCUCGUUGAAUGCAAAGGUGUCUUUGGUCAUGCGGUCUCGAAUCGGCCCUUCUAUUACAGCGGAUAUUUUUAUCCGUUUGAUCACGGGUCCUUGGGGAAUGUCGGUCCCCCCCGAUAAUCAUAUGAACGACAUGUCGAGGAAUCUCUCUUUUUGCCCAGGUUGGAUUUUUCUGAUUUCUGCUUAAAUGUUUCGGCGCGCUCCUUGGUAAUGUGACGACCGACGUUAAUGCAUUGGGCGUUGUACGAGGUUGUACCCUUAGGAAUCGGCUCCGAUGUGAUCUCGGGGUUUCGCGGUGGCACACCCAUACCUGGAAUAGCCAUACUGCCCUUUCCAUAGUUUUUGAGGCUGUUAUUUUCAGGUACAUUUACUGGUUUAGGCAUUUUGACCUGAAAUAAAAGAUCUUUGACAAGAAAAAGUGUGAAAGAUAACUUGCGUUGUGUAGUAAAACCAGCAAGAAAAUAAUCACUAUUAUUUUUAGCCCC